GAUGAACGCUGGCGGCGUGCCUAAUACAUGCAAGUCGAGCGAACAGACGAGGAGCUUGCUCCUCUGACGUUAGCGGCGGACGUGUGUGUAACACGUGGAUAACCUACCUAUAAUACUGGGAUAACUUCGGGAAACCGGAGCUAAUACCGUAUAAUAUAUUGCACCGCAUGGUUCAAUAGUGAAAGACGGUUUUGCUGUCUCUUAUAGAUGGAUCCGCGCCGCAUUAGCUAGUUGGUAAGGUAACGGCUUACCAAGGCAACGAUGCGUAGACGACGUGAGAGGGUGAUAGGCGACACGGGAAGUGGGACACGGUCAAGACGACUAAGGGAGGCAGCAGAAGGGAAUGGUACGCAAUGGGCGAAAGCAUGACGGAGCGAGGCCGAGUGAGUGAUGAAGAUGUUCGGAUCGUAAAACUCUGUUAUGAGGGAAGAACAAAUGUGGAAGUAAAUAUGCACGUAUUGACGGUAACUAAUAAGAAAGCAACGGCUAACUACGUG
Molecule: ribosomal RNA, 497 nt
Filed under: uncultured bacterium
Lineage: Bacteria
Description: partial 16S ribosomal RNA
Rfam family: Bacterial small subunit ribosomal RNA
Source: RNAcentral